CGCGUUUUUCGCGGCGGAACUCGACCGCCCCACGACGAGAUGAUCCGGUUCAUCGACAUGUUCCGGGAUCGUUUCGGGGUCGAGGCCAUCUGCCGCACCCUGGGUGCGACAGGCAGUGGGUUCCU
Non-coding RNA from Microbacterium sp. 67-17, 125 nucleotides. The record is from Rfam. NCBI's taxonomy places the organism in Bacteria, Bacillati, Actinomycetota, Actinomycetes, Micrococcales, Microbacteriaceae.